AACGAACGCUGGCGGCAGGCCUAACACAUGCAAGUCGAGCGAUCCCUUCGGGGAUAGCGGCGGACGGGUGAGUAACGCGUGGGAACGUACCCUUUGCUACGGAAUAGCCUCGGGAAACUGGGAGUAAUACCGUAUGUGCCCUUCGGGGGAAAGAUUUAUCGGCAAAGGAUCGGCCCGCGUUGGAUUAGGUAGUUGGUGGGGUAAUGGCCUACCAAGCCGACGAUCCAUAGCUGGUUUGAGAGGAUGAUCAGCCACACUGGGACUGAGACACGGCCCAGACUCCUACGGGAGGCAGCAGUGGGGAAUCUUAGACAAUGGGGGCAACCCUGAUCUAGCCAUGCCGCGUGAGUGAUGAAGGCCUUAGGGUUGUAAAGCUCUUUCAGCUGGGAAGAUAAUGACGGUACCAGCAGAAGAAGCCCCGGCUAACUCCGUG
RNAcentral lists this ribosomal RNA (433 nucleotides) under uncultured bacterium. RNAcentral's name for it is "bacterial SSU rRNA". It matches the Rfam family "Bacterial small subunit ribosomal RNA", at positions 29 to 507 of the family's 1533-position model. The record is from RNAcentral.